AGCACUGUUGGAAUGGUAAUCCAUGUAUUGUAUCAAGGGAAAUUAUGUAAGGAAUGUUACUGUAACAGAUAAGUGGCGCAAGAUUAAAUUGUGUAAGAGUGAUCACAGCAACGUGUUGCGUUAUCAUGUCUCUGAAAGAAAGUAACGCUAGCAAUACUGGCUCAAGUGAAUCAGAAUAUGAUGAAGUUAAAACAACAUUAUUGUACCACAACCUGAGAGAUAAUUUUCAGCAAGUAGGAAGCCAAUUGAAGAAGUACAGUGAGAUUAUACAAGAUCUUUCAAAAGAUAUGGAUGACAUAAAUAAAAGCAUGGCUACGCUUCAAGAACACUCUCUGGCCGCAAAGAAUCAGGCAGCAAUCGGAGAAACAACUACCCAGCAGAAGGAAAUGGCAACUAUUUUGCCUGUGUCUCAGUGAGAAGUUUAUAGCAGAUAUAAGUGAGAUAUGGCAGGAAAGAACAAUCAGUGGUACUGGUUACGAGUGUCACUAAUGUCUCUACUACCACAGUGCACAAACUAGAUCAUACAUCAUAAACUCCACUUACUAUUAAAACCUUUACAUCAAAUGAAUGCUACAAAAUCCUCUUGGACAACCGACCAUCAGUACCAAGUUGAAAACCAAUUUUUCAGAGACUCAGCAUGACCGUGAUGAUGAAGACUGAGCGAGUCCCCAAAAUUCUGGUUUUUAACUCAGCACUGGCACAGCUGAUCACCCAAGAGGAUUUUAUAGCACUCUUACAUAUUUAAAUCAAAGAUCAUUUCCUUGUGAACUUAAUGAAGAAGUGGUUUUUGUAAAUUCUAACAAAGUUGGUUUUCUGAGUUAGGUAUAUUAUAUUAUGUAAUAUAAGUUCUCUUCAGACCACAUUCUUGUAUGAAGAACCAAAGGGGAAGUCUAGUAUAAAUCUUUCCAGACAGUCUACUUUAAUUUCUUGGUAUGGGACGUCACAGGAUAGGUUCUUUAAAGUGUUUGAGUAAUGUACAAAUCAACAAUUAAUCUUUGAUAUGCUUUUCAUUAAAUUAACAGAAUCAAUAAAUGUACAAGUCACAUUUUGCUAUUCCUUCUACAAAACGUUUUUUCUUCAUAUUCUAGCCACACUAAAACACAUGUUAAUGAAAAAUUAAAAUAAUAUAAAAAAUAAAUCAAGCACAGACAGUUGUAAAGUUGAA
This is a long non-coding RNA of Zootermopsis nevadensis, 1165 nucleotides long. RefSeq lists it as uncharacterized. NCBI's taxonomy places the organism in Eukaryota, Metazoa, Arthropoda, Insecta, Blattodea, Termopsidae. The record is from RefSeq and is a predicted model, not a curated record.